CACGUAGGGUGCAAGCGUUGUCCGGAAUUAUUGGGCGUAAAGGGCUCGUAGGCGGUCCGUCACGUUGGGAGUGAAAACUCGGGGCUCAACCCCGAGCCUGCUUUCGAUACGGGCGGACUAGAGGUAGGUAGGGGAGAACGGAAUUCCUGGUGUAGCGGUGGAAUGCGCAGAUAUCAGGAGGAACACCGGUGGCGAAGGCGGUUCUCUGGGCCUUACCUGACGCUGAGGAGCGAAAGCGUGGGGAGCGAACAGG
Molecule: ribosomal RNA, 253 nt
Filed under: uncultured bacterium
Lineage: Bacteria
Description: partial 16S ribosomal RNA
Rfam family: Bacterial small subunit ribosomal RNA
Source: RNAcentral